UAAUAAUAGGGAAAAUGUUCUGGAAUAAGGCAGAGGUCAUAGAGUUGUGUGACUACACAACCUGGCAAACAUACAGAGACUACUGAGUUUUAUAAAUGAAUUAUAUCUCAGCACUGUAUCUCGGACAAACAAGAAGCAAACAGCAUGAAAUAUUCAAGAGGAAUGAACAUCCAAGCUGAGCCCCUUAUUCACACAAACCAUAGGGAGAGCGCGUCAAUUCUACCAGCACACCGCAGUUGCUAAGUCUUGGGCGCGCUACCCCGCUGGUGGAGCGUUGUGUUGCCAGAGUGCAGCAAGACAGCCUGGCGGAAGGGGCGAGCCCUCGCAUAUUCCCGGGGACAGAUACCAAGUUUGGGCGCCAGGGAGACCACGGUGACAGCAGCGCCCACCUCUCCCACCCGCAAGGUGCUUCACAGUUUAUCGGGCAAGCUCACGCUCCAGCGCUCGCCAAUUAGGACAAGAACAAGAAGAAUGAAGACAGAUCACAAAGGAAGGCUCAGGAUGUUGUCUAGCACAUUUUAA
Molecule: long non-coding RNA, 522 nt
Filed under: Chinchilla lanigera (long-tailed chinchilla)
Lineage: Eukaryota; Metazoa; Chordata; Mammalia; Rodentia; Chinchillidae
Description: lncRNA (ENSCLAG00000028061.1)
Source: RNAcentral